This 896-nucleotide ribosomal RNA is filed under the name uncultured bacterium. RNAcentral describes it as "bacterial SSU rRNA". It matches the Rfam family "Bacterial small subunit ribosomal RNA", at positions 532 to 1429 of the family's 1533-position model. The record is from RNAcentral.
UCCCGAGCGUUNUCCGGAUUUAUUGGGCGUAAAGCGAGCGCAGGCGGUUAGAUAAGUNUGAAGUGAAAGGCAGUGGCUCAACCAUUGUAGGCUUUGGAAACUGUUUAACUNGAGUGCAGAAGGGGAGAGUGGAAUUCCAUGUGUAGCGGUGAAAUGCGUAGAUAUAUGGAGGAACACCGGUGGCGAAAGCGGCUCUCUGGUCUGUAACUGACGCUGAGGCUCGAAAGCGUGGGGAGCGAACAGGAUUAGAUACCCUGGUAGUCCACGCCGUAAACGAUGAGUGCUAGGUGUUAGGUCCUUUCCGGGACUUAGUGCCGCAGCUAACGCAUUAAGCACUCCGCCUGGGGAGUACGACCGCAAGGUUGAAACUCAAAGGAAUUGACGGGGGCCCGCACAAGCGGUGGAGCAUGUGGUUUAAUUCGAAGCAACGCGAAGAACCUUACCAGGUCUUGACAUCCCUCUGACCACUCUAGAGAUAGAGUUUCCCUUCGGGGCAGAGGUGACAGGUGGUGCAUGGUUGUCGUCAGCUCGUGUCGUGAGAUGUUGGGUUAAGUCCCGCAACGAGCGCAACCCUUAUUGUUAGUUGCCAUCAUUCAGUUGGGCACUCUAGCGAGACUGCCGGUAAUAAACCGGAGGAAGGUGGGGAUGACGUCAAAUCAUCAUGCCCCUUAUGACCUGGGCUACACACGUGCUACAAUGGCUGGUACAACGAGUCGCAAGCCGGUGACGGCAAGCUAAUCUCUGAAAGCCAGUCUCAGUUCGGAUUGUAGGCUGCAACUCGCCUACAUGAAGUCGGAAUCGCUAGUAAUCGCGGAUCAGCACGCCGCGGUGAAUACGUUCCCGGGCCUUGUACACACCGCCCGUCACACCACGAGAGUUUGUAACACCCGAAGUCG